Molecule: non-coding RNA, 9013 nt
Organism: Ictidomys tridecemlineatus (thirteen-lined ground squirrel)
Lineage: Eukaryota; Metazoa; Chordata; Mammalia; Rodentia; Sciuridae
Source: RefSeq, a predicted model, not a curated record
UAGAGCUAGGGGCAGGAAAGAGCAGAGACCGUGCGGCCAGGCUUCACCGCAGUGCCCACACUUUGUGGGUCUGAACUCUGGCCAGGGACCCUGUCAGCGCCUGAAAUGAGGAACCUUGGGAUAUAACCCAGAGAGGAUAAAUCCCUGGUAACAGCUUCCUGUGUCCUCCUUUCUCAAGGACCUAUGCAAAGGACUUAAUUCACCCUACCCUCUGAGGCAGACACUAUUUCCCCUAUUUUAUAGAUGAGGAAACUGAGAAGGGAUAUGUCACAAGAAUGCAAUGCAGCUAGGCUUUGGAUCUUGAUGAGGGAGUCGAGCUCACACUUCUUCCACUGCCAUGAAGAGGCCAUCAGGGAGCCCUGGGUGCCUGAGCCCCCUUCCCAGCAUCAGUCUGCAUCGUGCCUGCCUUCCCAGGGUGCUCAGUGGGAGUUGAGCCGUGGGGGGAGCCGCCACCCAGCCAGAUCCGCCAGCCUCUACCUGCACAUCUCCCAUGGGGGCCUCACCUUCCUGCCAUCGGUAGCCAGUGCUCCAGGAUGACAGAAGCAGGAGAGGGAGCGUCCACACCUGGCUCCUAGUGCCGUGGAAAGGCUGGAGGAAGAUGGAUGAGGCUGGAGGUACUGGGCAGGAGGCAGCGGGAGGGGAGAGUUGCAGGUGCUGUCUGCUCUAGGAAGGGGACCGGUGGGCACCAGAGCCAGAGGGAGGAGAGAGGCUGGCACUGGGUACGAGAGGCAGGGACGAGGCCUGAGCAGUAGGGGUGCCAGAUUGAGCAGAUGCCCAGCUCGCUUGACUCUCAGUUCAACAACAAGCACUCUGUGAGCAUAAGUCUGCCCUGGGUGACGAGUGGACACACUCCCAUCUAAAGAGCCCCCGUGGGAGCUGAAAGUCGGUGGAAUCCGGUAUCCUGUACUGUAUCUGGCAGCCCAACUGGGGGCUCACCCCAGAGCCAUUGACAGCUGAGUCUGAGCCAAGGUACUUGUGCCCCCACCCCAGGACCCCGUCCUGUCUACUGCAGGUGAUGGAACACCACAAGGCAGAGGGUCCCUGGCAGAAACAGGAACGUUGUGGGAGAACACCUCUCUCUAGACCACAAGCUCUCAGGAGCAGAGGUUUCUGGGAGGGGUGAAUUCCCCAUCCCAGGGAGGAGGGAGGCCGUGUAGGGAAGCCCACCCAGGAAACCAGCAGGACCUUCAUUAUGUAGCUUCUCCCUGCCCUGGACUCCCAGGUGCUUUAGAAGCAGAUCCUGAAGCCAGAUGGCCUGGAUUCAAUCCAGAUACUACAAUUUAUUUGUUGUGUCACCUUAGACAAGUUACUUCACCUCUCUGUCUCAGUUUGCCCCCUUGUAAAAUGAGGAUAACAAAACAAAAGGAAGGCUAUGAGGGUUACGUGAGUUGACAUGUACAAAGUGCCUCUCCUAGGACCUGGAGCAAUGGAGGAGUUUUACAAAGGUUGUCACUGUUGUGCAACCCUCCUGGACAUAUCUGCAGAUCCCAGCCAGCCCUGGGGACCCCUAGGCCUGUCUGAUCUGACCCCCAACCUGCUCUACCUAAGAGCUUACCAGCACCUGCUCUUACCAAAACCCCCCACUGGACUUCGUCUUCAGGUAGGGGGCUCCCUUCUCACCCUCAGCAGGGAGGGUGAGGAGCAGCCCAUGCUGGGCAGCAUGUGAGGGAUGCCUCUGCCUGCGGUGUCCCCAGCCUGGCCAGUGGUGCCAAGUCACCAAGGGCACUGGUUGCAGCUGGGCCUGGGAAUGAGGCUCCCUUAACUAAGACACUGAAACACACAGUGGCACCCUCCUCCCCAGGACACCAAGGAGCCAAUCGAGGCACACAGGGGAACUGAAGCCAGAGUGUGGCCAGGCUGGCUGGGGCCACACAGAGGCAGUGGCAGUGGCCCUGUCCCAGCGCAUCCUGCUGCGGCCGGCCACCAAGCCUCUUCCUGCCUUUCUAUGGAGCAGCUCGCCUGCCCCCUGGUGGCCAUAUGGCCACAUGACACCCACCCUGUGACACCCUGGGCUGGGCAGGUAGGGCAGAGGCUGUCAGAAGAGGCAAGAUUGGCAGGUCAUUUGUGCCUCCCAGCUGACAAGAGCAGGCCCCCUCUCCUCCCUGCGCUGGAGGACCACUGUGGCCACAGUGCACCUCAGAGGAUCAGGGAGAAGGGAGCCCACCGGCAGCCCCAGUGAGCCCAGAGGAACAAAGAGAAUGAAACAAGCUAACUCCUCAGGCAGGAAACCCACCACACUUCAGGUUUAUAACAAGGGCGGUGUGGGGGGGGGCAGGACACGAGGGUUCAAGCUCGUGCCCCUUUUGGGGGUUCUGUCCAUGCUCACGGUAACCACUGGGGUUCACAGGAAGCGGGCCCGGUCUUGCUGCCCCUUGCAGCUCCUGGGAGCACACAGCACCCUCCCUGGGGAAGAAAGUGAGGAGGCGGCAGAGGCAACAGUUUUCAGGGGCAGGUGGCGUUUCAGGCAGACCUUUAAGGCAGGGAGAACCGAGAAGAGGAAAGGGAGGGCCGGGCUGGAAAGUCGAGGCCAACCUUCUGCAGGGCUGGACAUGGGAUGUCAGGGGUCUUGAUAAGCCCCCUGCAAAAGCCUAACGCUGUAUGAACAUGCAUUGGAAGGCUUGUGGGGACCCCGGGGGCUGGCAGCCCAGUCCUCUUUGUGUGUCCUCCCUUGCUGCCGCCCCACAGAUGUUUGCUGAGUUAACAACAUGCAAAAGAGUUCCCCGCCAAAAAUCAUCCCAAGAUGUGGCCUGACUGCAGGCCUGGGUGAGGCUCCUGCUUGCUCAAGGUCAAGGAAUGAUGCCGCCAAGUCUCCGGGCAGCAGAGGUGGGGCAAGCCAACCCCCCUGCCCUCUUGGUGUGCUGUGAGCUACUGAAGAGGUCAUUAACCCCUUGUCCUUUGUCCUUCCUGACCACCUUCCUGCAGCAGGCUGGCUGGUACACCUCUGGCCACAUCACCCACUGGCUCCCAAGUGUCCUGCCCUUUUCCACCUCUGAGCCUUUGUCCAUAGGUCCCUGGCAGGAAUGCCCUCCCCUUCAGGAGGCACCCCCAGGCCACCGCACACCUCUGCCCUGCUCCCGGGGCCUGGCCUACAGUGAGCUUGUGCAGUGCUGGCUUCUCCCACAGCCACUGACCCACUCUGCGAACCUUUUUUCUGGCCCUUGUGGGUUUGUUUCUACCUUUUUUGCAGCUGCUUUGGCCCAGUUCCCCCUCCAGGCUCAGCUGGGGCUCCCUGUCUGGAUUAAGGCAGCCUCCAGCCCCCUGAGUGGUUUUCCAAGGGACCUUGGCACUGGGCCAGGGCAGGGCCUGGGUCCCAAAGGAAAAGGCCUCAGCUCACAGCCAGGCCACUCGGUCCCAAGUGAAGCAGGUGGCUCCAAUUUGUCACUGAAGGUCUGCAGGGCAAGACUCGGGCACCUCUCAGGGUGACCAUCCCCUUUCAUAGGAAGGGCCCGAGUCUCAGAAAGGGGCAGUAGUCCUCCUGGGGUCACCAGGAAAUAAGCCAGGGCAGGCCCUGUCCCAUACUCAGCCUUCCACGAUCAUGCAGGGAACCAGGGCCACCUGAGUGGGGCAAGAAUCUGUGUACUUCCCUCUUCCCGUGGUCCACCCAGCUCACCUCUGCAUUUCAUUCUCUGCCAAGGGCAUCCCUGCACUCAGUCCCAUGUGACUCAUGGCCCCCUGAGCAUGCCUCACCCACCCGCCACCCUGGCUCCCUUGGGUGCCCGUCUGGACUCCUUUCCUGUCCCAUGGCUGCAGUGGCCCUGCUACUUCCAAGAAAUUCUCAUUUUCCGUUGGUGUGGGAGGCUAGGGGCGGCAAUCCCUGGGUCGUGCUCCCCAGCUCCAGGGUUGCACCGCCCUCCUGGCUGUCUCCUCCAGCGCCACCACCUGGGCCCCCUUCCCAGAGAUACAAAGAGGUUCCAACAGACACCUGUUCAUUUCUUACCCUGUCCAGAGCCUUCCUCUCUGCCCAUCCUGCAUCCAGCAGCCAGCCCUGCCCUAGAGAGGUCCUCUGACCAGGCUCCUGUUAAUCUGUACUAUAGCCCAUUAGAGGGGGCAGAUGAGAAACAAACUCAGAGAGGCUAAGUGACUUGUCCAUAAUCACACAGCUCACCAAGGCCAAGCAGCCACUAGAGCGUAUGUGUUCUCACUCUCAGGACCGCAUGCACAUCCUCUAGUCUAACAUGUUGAUCUGUGGGCUCUGGACAUUAACCUCCCCUGGUUCGCAUUACUUUUAAAUCUUUCUCUAACCUUUCCCACGUUUUUGUUUGUUUGUUUGUUUUGUUUUUGUUGUUGUCGUUUGUUUGGGUUCCUGGUUGGAAGCGGGAACUUCCAGGGUGCCCUGUGUGUUUGUAAGACCUAGAGAGUGUCAUAUCCAGGUGCUCCCUCGGGGCAGAGCCAGGCACAUUGCAGGCCAGGGAAAGGGAUUAGAGUGGUAGCCCCUGCUGCCUCAGGGCCCUGAGGGGGUAGAGGCUUUCAGACCCUGGAGUCCAGGGCUGUCUGACCCUGGGCCUGCCCCCCAGCCCUCCUGGCAGACUCCAGCGGGGGCAGCAGCAGCCCCCACACUCCAUGAUGACCUCCCCUGACUCAGGCCUGCGCUAAGCCCCUGAACCCACUUCAUCCUCGGAGGAAGGCUGCACAUCUGUCCCUUCACUGCCAAUGGGACAGAGAUGCAGGGCCCACCAUGUGAGGAGCUGGUGCCAGAACCAGGUAUGGACCCACUUGCAUCUAGGUCCUUGAAGCCCAGACAAUGCUACAGGGGACUCGGUCAGGCAGCAGACGGGCCUGUCCCCUGCCCCUUGGGACUCUGAUGGAGGCCACUGGGCUGAAAGCACCUAUGGGCAGGUGGCUCCCGCCUCCCCAGCCUGCCCUUCCCUGCUCUCAGUCACCCAGAACCUGCCCCCCCCCACCAGGCCCCAGGCAAGGGCCGACCGAUGCCUGCUCUGUGCAGUGCAGACCCUCCCUGGCCACCAGCUUCCCCCCACAGGAGGCUUCCCUUGUGUGAGGCCCAGCGCAGCUCUUACUUGAUCUCCGUCUGCCCGCCCGCCUUCCGCGCGAUCUGCACCAGCUCCUUCCCGUAGCGCUCCUCCGCCUGGGCCCUGCAAGGACACGGCGGGCUCGUUCCCCGGGGCUGCAGCCCGGGAAGUGCCCUCUGCAGAGCCGGAGGCCCACCCAACCGCCUCAGGGGCAGCAGGACCGUGUGGCAGCCCCUCCUGGGAGUACGUGCUGGCCCACCAGGCCACCUGAGGGGACAGCGAGCAGCACCCAUCGGGGCAGGUUGGGGUUGAGGGGAAACGUUGUCGCCUGGCUUCCUGCGGAGGGCAGCCCCCUUCCCCUGGCCGCCCCGCCCGCCCCUGGCCAUCCCAGUUCACCUCUGCCUCAGCAGCUCCUCCACGUCCUUGCACAUCUUCCUGCCGUCCAGCAGCCGCUGCAGCAGCACCUCGUAGCCCGUGUGGGCGGUGAAGUCCCUGCACUGGAACGCAGGGCAGGCGGGUCCCUGAGCACAGCCCAGCAGGGGCCUCUGGACACCCCAGGAGGAGACCCUCCCUUGUCUCCAUCUCCCCAUUCACAGUCCAGCCCUUGGGUUCAGGCCCUGUCCUCACACAGCUGUGGGGGUGACAGGUGCCCAAGUGGUCAGGGGCUGCCUGCCUGACAUCAGAGUUCUCAGUCUGGGACCCCUCACUGCCACCCAGGGACAGUUGAUGGGAGGGGCCACCACUGAAGCACCACGAUGACAGCCCCCAAAUUUAGUCCCUCAGGGGUGCCUGGCAUGACUCAUGCUGCCCACCCCCAUCACCCUGUCACUCAGCUAAUCAAGAAAGCAGGCACGUAGGGGUGACAGCUACCAAGUGAUGGCCUGGCACUGAACGCAGGUUGGAGUUGAAUUCUGCACCCCUGCACUACCCAGCCUCUGCCGCUGCCCGUGACCCAGGCGAGUCUUUGAGACUUAGCUCUGUACCCAGGGCCAGGUUGGGCCCUCUGUGGGCUCAGCUCAUCUUCUUGCACCAGUCUGGGAAGGUGGGUUUUGAGGGUGGCUUCAGGGCCACCAGAGCACACCUAGAACACCCUGUGUCACCUCUGUUUUAUUUUUUGUGAUGCUGGGGAUCAAACUCAGUGGGUACUAGGCAAGUGCUCUGCCACUGAGCUACACCCUCAGCCCUGGGUCACCUCUCAACUAGACUACGUGAGGGUCACCCUAGAGAAUCCCCAAGGAGGGGCUGCUCCUGCACCUGGCGCUUGCCCAGCCAGUCCUGGUGGUCCUGACCCACCUGCCCCACCCCUGCCCUUGGGUGCGGACUCUAGGUCCAUCUGAGCUGCUGGCAUGGGAAGCUGGGGUGGGGAGGUAGCAUGCGAGGACAUGAGAGGACAGUAGUUCCUACAGCAUCCCCAGGCCUGGGGAACGGGUCCCAGCACCUGGCUGCCGACCCCAGUGCUCCUGGCUCGCACAUGUGGCUGACCCUAGAAGAAGAGGAUAAAUCCUGGUGGGAGGCAGGGGGUCUGCCCCUCACUAAUCCCUGCCAACCCUUAGGUACUUGGCCAGGCAACUGCAAACCAGGGCAGCCUGAGAUUCGGCACCUCCUCUGUCUGCUUUUCUGCCCCCUCAGACCCUCCCAAAUCCUGAGACUGGGAAAAGGAGCCCCAGUUUCCCUGACAAUAAAUGUCACGUCCUCAUACAUCGGAGUUCAGAGGUCUAUGGGGCUCUCCCAAGUCACACACCCCUAACCUGUUUUCCAGACAAAGCCUGGCACUCCUUCCCCUUGCCCAAUGCCUCUCCUCAAAUUAUGGGUCUGUGGGGGAAGACUGGGUGGAGUCAAAUCAAGGAGAGCUUCCUGCAGGAAGAGGCAUAUGAGCCAGGGAAGAAGAUGUUGCAUUCUUCAAGGUCUAAAAAGAAUCAGACAUGGGGCUCAGGACAGAAAUGGCAGCAACGGCCUCACCUAGGCCUAGCCCACCCUCAACCAACUCAGAGUAGUCAAUCUGUAGGCCUGUGGGAUACAGAUACUUAGAACCCCAAACUCACCCUCCUCCAUAAGCAACCCUAGAAAUUCCUGUGGAGGGCCUGACCCAGGCUCAGUGGCCCACAGGGUACAAGCUGAGUAUAUAGGCCUUGGCUGGCCACCAGAACCCCAACAAGACGAAGUUGUCCCCUAGUGUGCUGCAGCCUGUCCUGGGCACGGCAUUUGCCCUCAGGUCCAGCCUGGCAUCGCUUAACCACACGGGCCAGGCUUCCAUUUCCACAGCCUUGGUGGGCAUAAACCUGACCAUUAAAAACCGGCAGACCAUGCUUCCCGCCCCUCAGCUUCUGCCCUCCCUCUGGACCCCCAAGUCAGAAACCUGUGGCAGCAGGGAGAGAAAACAAAUCGGGAGCUUCGGCCUCCUGCCCUCCUUGUGAGGGGUCAUUCCAAGCUGGACACAGUGUUCAGGUCACAAGAUCACAGACACCCAGAACUUAGAAGCAUCUUUCUAGCGCCCCUCUGUCUUUGGGAAACUGAGCCUGGAGAAGGGAAAGGCUUGCCUGAGGCCAGAGUUAGGACAAGAAUCUUCUGGACUCUCGGGGGCCUGCUCCUACCCCUGGGGAAGAUGUGGGGACUGAGGACUCAGGCAAGCUGGAGUCCGGCUUAGAGCGGGCUGUGCUGCUGCUCCCGCCCGACCGCGCCUGGCCCUUCUCUGUCCUUACUGAGGCUCCCAGAGUGGAAAGAGAAGCCGAAGCAGACCUACGUUGGCCAUUCUGGAGCGGUGGAAGGCGGCAAGGGCCCUGAAGUCUGGCCUUCAGGAGCUCAGGUCCCCACAGUGUCCAGGCUGGAGAAUUCUAUCCAGCCCCUGUGCAGAGCACAGUGCAGGGGCUGGGGGGAGUGUCACUGAGUGAGCCAUGGUCACAAGUGGUGAGGCUGUUCUGAGGAAGUGCCUGUCCCCCCCCCUCCACUGGGGCUACUCACCAUGCCACAAUGCGUCCCAGCCCUGCCCCCUUCCACCAGCCGGCACCCUCCCCCUCCACCCCCACCCCAGCCACCUCCUCACGGGGAUGAGCUCUGACUCAUUGCUCAGAGCUGGGAGAGAAGGCUCAGGAUGCUGUUGAGGGAAAGAGGAACUGAGAAGUCUUAUCUAAACUGGGUUGGCAGGUCCACCGUGCCAGGCCCAGCACCAGUCAGAGGCUGCCCCGGCCUCCUCGGCCUCCUCUCACCUCCCCUCACAUCCUCCUGCUCGCCCUCAGCAUCUGUCACCUGAGCCCUGCCCAUGGCCUUGCCCUUCAUGAAAUCAAAAUUGUGGCUGGAUGGGCCACAGUCUUCUGCUGGGCGUUUCCCCAAAGAGAGGCUUCCAGCGCUAGUGUGCACUUGUGCAGCUCAGCAGAUCCUCCAGGACCCGAGGGCCGUUCUCAGGAAAGAAACCUUCAAAAGAAUAAGACCCCAGUCUCUGGGACCCAUGAGAGGCAGCGAUCUUACGUUGAUACCUACCCCAGCAGACACAGCCAGCCCACAGCCACCUCCCCACACCAAUCAGCACUGUGCAUUUGUACCUCUCCAAGGGGUCCCCCUGCUCCCCCUUAGUUAUCUUCUUUUUUGUUGUUGUUGUUUGUUUUUUUUGAUUAUGAAUUCUGGAGGUCUCGCAGCUGAGCUGUAUCAUUAGCGUCCUGCAAGCUUUGCUUAGAGAACACCUCUGACAUGUGGUUACAGGUGACUGGGCUACUUGUCAAAAACUUGAAAGCCAUUUCUGUCCAAACCACCAAUUCUUCAUUUGGGCCUGUGCAGAUGUCCGAUGAGGUGACCUUUAAACAUCAAGAGGCCCCAAACUCCACCCUCAUACCAGGCUGAUGCUGCUAUUUUCUGAACCCAGGUCCCCAUGAAAAACCAUAAAGUUUGGUGACAUACCACAACUUCUCUUCCGGUCACCUUCCCCAUGCCUUAAAAUCACUCUACUUCUUUACCCCAUGAAUAUCCCCUAGCCCUAUCCUUGAGGAGGAGAAUUCGAGACCUGUGUCUCCAUCGCCAUGCUCAGUCACUGAGAAUUAAACUUUUCUUUUGCAAAA